Molecule: ribosomal RNA, 200 nt
Filed under: uncultured bacterium
Lineage: Bacteria
Description: partial 16S ribosomal RNA
Rfam family: Bacterial small subunit ribosomal RNA
Source: RNAcentral
UACGUAGGGUGCAAGCGUUGUCCGGAAUUAUUGGGCGUAAAGAGCUCGUAGGCGGUCUGUUGCGUCGGCUGUGAAAACCGAGGCUCAACUUCGGCUGCAGCCGAUACGGCAGACUAGAGUUCGGCAGGGAGACUGGAAUUCUGGUGAUAGCGGUGAAAUGCGUAGAGAUGUGGAGGAACACCGAUGGCGAAGGCAGCCCC